Molecule: ribosomal RNA, 232 nt
Filed under: uncultured bacterium
Lineage: Bacteria
Description: partial 16S ribosomal RNA
Rfam family: Bacterial small subunit ribosomal RNA
Source: RNAcentral
CGGACGGGUGAGGAAUACAUCGGAAUCUGCCUUAUCGUGGGGGAUAACGUAGGGAAACUUACGCUAAUACCGCAUACGACCUACGGGUGAAAGCGGAGGACCUUCGGGCUUCGCGCGAUAAGAUGAGCCGAUGUCGGAUUAGCUAGUUGGCGGGGUAAAGGCCCACCAAGGCGACGAUCCGUAGCUGGUCUGAGAGGAUGAUCAGCCACACUGGAACUGAGACACGGUCCAG